Molecule: ribosomal RNA, 584 nt
Filed under: uncultured fungus
Lineage: Eukaryota; Fungi
Description: eukaryotic LSU rRNA
Rfam family: 5.8S ribosomal RNA (bases 183-336)
Source: RNAcentral
UAACAAGGUCUCCGUUGGUGAACCAGCGGAGGGAUCAUUAUCGAGUUAUUCAACUCCCAAACCCUAUGUGAACUUACCACUUGUUGCUUCGGCGCGCGCUUCGGCGCCGCCGAGGACACUUAAACUCUUUGUUUUUAUAAGCAUUUCUGAGUGGCCGAAAGGCAAAAAUACAAAUGAAUCAAAACUUUCAACAACGGAUCUCUUGGUUCUGGCAUCGAUGAAGAACGCAGCGAAAUGCGAUAAGUAAUGUGAAUUGCAGAAUUCAGUGAAUCAUCGAAUCUUUGAACGCACAUUGCGCCCGCCAGCAUUCUGGCGGGCAUGCCUGUUCGAGCGUCAUUUCAACCCUCGAGCCCGACUCUUUUGAGGACGGCUCGGCGUUGGGGGACGGCAGACUCCCCCCGGCAUCUCGCCGGGGACGCCGCCCCCGAAAUCUAGUGGCGGUCCUCCGAGGCGACCUCUGCGUAGUAACUUGUUCUCGCACCGGAAAGCUCAGAGCGGCCACGCCGUAAAACCCCAACUUUUUUCAGGUUGACCUCGAAUCAGGUAGGACUACCCGCUGAACUUAAGCAUAUCAAUUAACAAGG